This 73-nucleotide transfer RNA is filed under the name Dictyocaulus viviparus (bovine lungworm). It matches the Rfam family "tRNA". From Rfam's summary of the family: Transfer RNA (tRNA) molecules are approximately 80 nucleotides in length. Lineage: Eukaryota; Metazoa; Nematoda; Chromadorea; Rhabditida; Metastrongylidae. The record is from Rfam by way of RNAcentral.
GUCUAGGUAGUGUAAAGGGUCAGCACGGUAGACCGGAUAUCUAUAAGUGCAGGUUCGAGUCCCACCUGAGGUC